ACCUUCUGCUCAAGGAGGGCUGGGGCCUGCGGCGCGCGCAUCCGCCAAGGCAAAGCUGCUGGCUUGGGGGCGAAUUCCUCCCUUCGCCACGUGACGGACUGAAACACCUUGCCACCCACUAAAGACAAUUUUUUUUUGCUUAUCGGACCUGGGAUUCCCUCAAGUUGCGGGAAAUGAGGUGUAACUUUACUGAAAACAACACGUUUGGGACAGGGUGAGCCAGACAGAUGCAUGAGGGGCAUCGGGUCGCCAGCUCCACCAAAUGCAGUCAGCAAACGCUGGCCAAGCACCCGAUUUGGCUGGAGUCGAAAGAAAUGGAAAAUUCUGAGGAUCCCCAGAGGGUUACACCUGUCGAGUACGCGAACAGAUGUGUAAUAUUUUUUCCUUGACUAACGCUAGCCUCCAUAGAGAGCUGAUGAUUUCCAAGCUUUAAAAGACCCUAUCAACUCUGUUGCUUGAUCCUGCUUAAAAAUCACAUUAACUAUUGCCAUUUCAAGACUUUUUAAUCCUCACAUCCACCUCCUAAACCACAAUGGCAUUGUUAUGCCCCCUUCAGAGCUAAGGAGCUGUGGCAGAGUAACUCUCCAGUAAGGUGACGUUGAGGUGGAUUAUGAAGCUGGACAAUGAACAUCAUCCUACUGACAUCCUAAAAGCAUCUUGAAUAACACCAGAGUACAUUGAUCUGCAAGAAUGAGGAAAGGUGGAAUGAAGAACACACUAUCAAAGGCCACAACAUGGGACCGAGACUUUGUGUUUGCCCGAUGAUCGACCAAGGAGCCCCGCGACAGGUUGCAGACUCGCUGCUUCCCAAGCAGACUCCCAUCUGGAGGUGGAUCCCAAGCAAGGAUGCUUCAUUUCACACCUGGGCUCUGUUCUGUUCCCUCAUGUACGACGUCACAUUUGGCUGUUUUAAAACAAGUAUCAGGUUUUCACCUGGCACAGUCUGACACUCCUUUUGCUCUGACCUAUGCAGAUACCGGGAUGACUCAGGCCAUCCCAUUUCUGCUUUUUAAGUACUGCCACAACAUUAGCUCUCUUUCAAUGCUCUGAAACUUCAGCAUUCAAAGACCUUUUGAACACUCAGAGUGACUGAUCUGGAGGCUGCUCCACCAGCUCCUUUAGAAAUCGGAUAGGAAAAUCAAGGCCCUAAAUCAUCCUCAUAAUUAAAGCUGGUUUUGUGCAUCAUUCACACAUAAUUGCAUUAGACUAAGUCCUCACUACAUUUUGAUUUAUUUGAUUUCCUUCCACCUGUUUAAACUAGCACUGAGGUUUCAGGAAGACUGUGGUUUUCCUCAGCCCUUUUCUAUACCUAUUUCUCUACUGCUGUGAAAGGUGAGUAAUGACAUCAUUUGUAAGUGGAAAAUUAGGGUAGACACCAUUUUUUAAUGGUUUUCGUUACUCUGGCUCAAAAUAUAUAGCUCUUAGCAGUUACAAUUCCUUUUUUCUGUAUAUGUACACACACAAACUUAUGAGUCUCUCAUUUCUCCUGUGCCUACCUUAUAAUGAAUACACGCAUGUUAUCUUCCUUUUCUAAGCUUUCUUUCUAGAUAGGCAUUUCCCCCAUUUAAACUAUAACAAUAGGUCUCUGGAUUUCCAGUGAGAAGGCUCAACACGAAAUCUGAAAGCAUAUUCAUCAUAAUGUUCCAUAGGUACAGCAUUUCUCUUCUUUUAAAAAUCAAAAUAUGCUGAUUUCAAUAUUCUAUUCUUUAAUCACAUUAUUUUAGAGAUAUAUUUAUUGACAAGAACAUACAGAAGUACCUCACUGUUCAGUGCAGCUCUAUUUCUGUUUUGGAAAAAACCCAAAAAUAUCUCUUUGUGAUUUAAAUUUAUUUUAUAGACACAUUUACCAAUAUUUUGCAAACACUAUCUUGAUUAUUCAUAUUACAUUUCUCACUCUAAAAUAAAUACUGGAUUGACAAGCAAUUAGUACAGUUACUUCAGUUUUUUUGAAAAAUUCAAGGGACAUUUAAAGGUAAUAAAAAUACACUGUUCUUUCCAUUUUUUUCAAAAUUUCCAUAAAAUUUGCACUAUUAGUAAGACCGUUGAUUUCAAUGCAAUAGACAUUUUUUAUUGUCUACUCUUGAAAGUAUACUUCAAUAAGUAGAUUACUGGACUACAACCUAGGAUAUGUGUGUUUUUUUACCACUUCUACAGCUGGCCUGCUUUUCUAUGCCUCAAGUUUCCCCAUUUGUGAAAUAUGAUAAAAAACCUGGGUACAUUAUCAUCUAUCAUCAUCAUCAGAAUUAAUAAAAAUAUUUCCUGUGUAAAGUAUUAUUUAACGUUCGUUAAGAUGUUGGUGUCAAGCUCUAAAUUUAGUUUAGCUGUUUUUUCCUAUAUAGUUUCAUUCCAGUUAAUGGCAAUCUACAUAUUAAACUUUUACAGUCAGCGUACGCUAACACGACCUCACUUCUGCUUUGCAGGUGAAGUAUCGAAAAUGUGUGUUGUGCUCUAAGUGCAACCAGUUAAACUCUGUAAAAUUAAAAACCUCUCCAAAAAAUAAAUUAUUCAUAGAAUUCAGUCAGAAUUCAUAUAUCACAUUAAGCUGCAUAAGGUGACUUUCAAGCCACACUCGGGACCCACCAGCUAGGUCAAUUUCUGAGGGUAAAGCACUAUCCUGCGACAUAAAACAUGCAUGAAACGCACACAAUUGCUUUUCAGCCACUUAUAUCUUCAGCAUACCUGAAGUCAUCUUAUUCGCUUUACUUUUAGUUACAGCUUAUAGGGACAAAAUCUGAGAAGAAACGGUCUAGAUCAUAUCAUUCCAAAGAACUUUUAGCGCUACAAAGUGGGCAGCUGCCCCUGCAAAACUAUUUUGCAGAAAAGUAUAGGAGAUCAAAUCUUUCCCCUCUUUUGAAGAGGAAUAGCUUUGCUUUCCUCUGCAGGAGUCAAAGGAGGAGGAUGGAUGGUAGCUAUGAGAGAAAGACAAGUGCAAUUGGCUGCUUCGAAUAUAACUGCAUAAGAGCAGAAAGUGACUGCAAUGCUGCAUCCAAACAGCAAAUUAGAAAUUUGUGUUGUGAUAUUGUGUUACGAUGUUACAAUGCAUAGCAAGGGCAUUUGUGGAAUUCAGUCCUGGAUAAACCAGAGGACUAUUUCUUCUCUCUUUUCCAUUCCUUUCUCUCCCUCUCUGCAAUGCCAUUUCCUACUGAAGCGGCAUACUGGUUCUUCAAGGUCGAGUGGCCCUAAUGUAUGCAUUAUAAUUGAUUCUAAAUUAAUAACAAAAAUGAAAGGCAAUUUUCUGCAAUGCAAAGCAUUGCUUUUUCUGAAGAGACAAAUCCAGCACAUCAAAGAUGUCUUUUAAAAGUUCUGCCUAGAAAAUGACCGCCUUUGUGGCAAAAUGAUUACUGUCAUCUCCAGAAUGAUUCAUAUUCUACUAGCAAAUUGAGGUUCCUCUUUCUCAUGUAUUUAAAUAUACAUAUUAUUUUAAAUUUACAUAUUAUUCACCAAUGCCAACUGCAAGACUAAGUGAAAACUAAGCUGAAAUACAGCUUCUCAGAACAAUACUCCUUAGCAUAUCAUUUUUUUUUUUCUGUGGUGCUUUUUGAGUCUUUCUCCAAAGAGGUUCCUACAUACUUUUUUGGAAAAGUCAGCAUCUCAGACACUUUACUUAUUUCUUUUUUGUGUGUGCAUACCCUCCUAUUAGUGCUUCAGAAGCCUUUAUUGAGAACCAGUAUAUUCAUUUGGAAGUCCACAGCCUCCAUUCACACUUGGAGCUGUGUUCAGUAUUGGCUAGUGCUGAUUGAUUUAAGGUAGCAGAGGGUGGGCAACUUCAGGUUUGCUUGGGUGCCACAGUCGAAUUGUUUUCUGCUAAUGGGCUUUUUACACCAGCUUAGAAAAGCAGAACUGUGUGGAGCAAAAUACUCGUUUGUUUGCACUUUCUGAAAAUUGGGACGUUAUCAGAGCACUCAGAGACCCACUAUGUCUGUGCUAAACUCCCAGAUCAAUAAAGGAUUUCUUCCUGCAAAA
Molecule: long non-coding RNA, 3963 nt
Organism: Dromaius novaehollandiae (emu)
Lineage: Eukaryota; Metazoa; Chordata; Aves; Casuariiformes; Dromaiidae
Exons: 5
Source: RefSeq, a predicted model, not a curated record